This 202-nucleotide ribosomal RNA is filed under the name uncultured bacterium. RNAcentral's name for it is "partial 16S ribosomal RNA". It matches the Rfam family "Bacterial small subunit ribosomal RNA", at positions 328 to 539 of the family's 1533-position model. The record is from RNAcentral.
ACGCUCGACACCUACGGGAGGCAGCAGUUGGGAAUAUUGGACAAUGGAGGGAAAACCUCUGAUCCAGUGACGCCGCGUGAAGGAAGAAGGUUCUUCGGAUUGUAAACUUAUUUUGUCAGGGAAGAAAAAUGACUGUACCUGAAGAAAAGCACCGGCUAACUACGUGCCCGCAGCCGCGGUAAUCUGAGCGGGCUGGCAAGGC